Molecule: ribosomal RNA, 1542 nt
Filed under: Escherichia coli
Lineage: Bacteria; Pseudomonadati; Pseudomonadota; Gammaproteobacteria; Enterobacterales; Enterobacteriaceae
Description: bacterial SSU rRNA
Rfam family: Bacterial small subunit ribosomal RNA
Source: RNAcentral
AAAUUGAAGAGUUUGAUCAUGGCUCAGAUUGAACGCUGGCGGCAGGCCUAACACAUGCAAGUCGAACGGUAACAGGAAACAGCUUGCUGCUUCGCUGACGAGUGGCGGACGGGUGAGUAAUGUCUGGGAAACUGCCUGAUGGAGGGGGAUAACUACUGGAAACGGUAGCUAAUACCGCAUAACGUCGCAAGACCAAAGAGGGGGACCUUCGGGCCUCUUGCCAUCAGAUGUGCCCAGAUGGGAUUAGCUAGUAGGUGGGGUAACGGCUCACCUAGGCGACGAUCCCUAGCUGGUCUGAGAGGAUGACCAGCCACACUGGAACUGAGACACGGUCCAGACUCCUACGGGAGGCAGCAGUGGGGAAUAUUGCACAAUGGGCGCAAGCCUGAUGCAGCCAUGCCGCGUGUAUGAAGAAGGCCUUCGGGUUGUAAAGUACUUUCAGCGGGGAGGAAGGGAGUAAAGUUAAUACCUUUGCUCAUUGACGUUACCCGCAGAAGAAGCACCGGCUAACUCCGUGCCAGCAGCCGCGGUAAUACGGAGGGUGCAAGCGUUAAUCGGAAUUACUGGGCGUAAAGCGCACGCAGGCGGUUUGUUAAGUCAGAUGUGAAAUCCCCGGGCUCAACCUGGGAACUGCAUCUGAUACUGGCAAGCUUGAGUCUCGUAGAGGGGGGUAGAAUUCCAGGUGUAGCGGUGAAAUGCGUAGAGAUCUGGAGGAAUACCGGUGGCGAAGGCGGCCCCCUGGACGAAGACUGACGCUCAGGUGCGAAAGCGUGGGGAGCAAACAGGAUUAGAUACCCUGGUAGUCCACGCCGUAAACGAUGUCGACUUGGAGGUUGUGCCCUUGAGGCGUGGCUUCCGGAGCUAACGCGUUAAGUCGACCGCCUGGGGAGUACGGCCGCAAGGUUAAAACUCAAAUGAAUUGACGGGGGCCCGCACAAGCGGUGGAGCAUGUGGUUUAAUUCGAUGCAACGCGAAGAACCUUACCUGGUCUUGACAUCCACGGAAGUUUUCAGAGAUGAGAAUGUGCCUUCGGGAACCGUGAGACAGGUGCUGCAUGGCUGUCGUCAGCUCGUGUUGUGAAAUGUUGGGUUAAGUCCCGCAACGAGCGCAACCCUUAUCCUUUGUUGCCAGCGGUCCGGCCGGGAACUCAAAGGAGACUGCCAGUGAUAAACUGGAGGAAGGUGGGGAUGACGUCAAGUCAUCAUGGCCCUUACGACCAGGGCUACACACGUGCUACAAUGGCGCAUACAAAGAGAAGCGACCUCGCGAGAGCAAGCGGACCUCAUAAAGUGCGUCGUAGUCCGGAUUGGAGUCUGCAACUCGACUCCAUGAAGUCGGAAUCGCUAGUAAUCGUGGAUCAGAAUGCCACGGUGAAUACGUUCCCGGGCCUUGUACACACCGCCCGUCACACCAUGGGAGUGGGUUGCAAAAGAAGUAGGUAGCUUAACCUUCGGGAGGGCGCUUACCACUUUGUGAUUCAUGACUGGGGUGAAGUCGUAACAAGGUAACCGUAGGGGAACCUGCGGUUGGAUCACCUCCUUA